This 253-nucleotide ribosomal RNA is filed under the name uncultured bacterium. RNAcentral's name for it is "partial 16S ribosomal RNA". It matches the Rfam family "Bacterial small subunit ribosomal RNA", at positions 524 to 776 of the family's 1533-position model. The record is from RNAcentral.
UACGUAGGGUGCAAGCGUUGUCCGGAAUUAUUGGGCGUAAAGAGCUCGUAGGCGGUCUGUCGCGUCUGCUGUGAAAACUCAGGGCUUAACCCUGAGCUUGCAGUGGGUACGGGCAGACUAGAGUGCGGUAGGGGAGAUUGGAAUUCCUGGUGUAGCGGUGGAAUGCGCAGAUAUCAGGAGGAACACCGGUGGCGAAGGCGGGUCUCUGGGCCGAUACUGACGCUGAGGAGCGAAAGCGUGGGGAGCGAACAGG